AAGACUAUACUUUCAGGGAUCAUUUCUAUAGUAUGUUAAAUUAGUAAAUGAUGGAUAUUUAUCGAGUUUAGGAAGU
RNAcentral lists this small RNA (76 nucleotides) under Marmota monax (woodchuck). RNAcentral's name for it is "Small nucleolar RNA U3". It matches the Rfam family "Small nucleolar RNA U3", at positions 1 to 77 of the family's 219-position model. Rfam says of the family: Small nucleolar RNAs (snoRNAs) are involved in the processing and modification of rRNA in the nucleolus. There are two main classes of snoRNAs: the box C/D class, and the box H/ACA class. Lineage: Eukaryota; Metazoa; Chordata; Mammalia; Rodentia; Sciuridae. The record is from Rfam by way of RNAcentral.